Molecule: unclassified non-coding RNA, 312 nt
Filed under: Bombus terrestris (buff-tailed bumblebee)
Lineage: Eukaryota; Metazoa; Arthropoda; Insecta; Hymenoptera; Apidae
Description: misc RNA ENSBTSG00005036836.1
Source: RNAcentral
CAGGGAGGAAGAGAGACAUGCGCCGGCACGCAUCGUUUGGAAGUGAAAAGGACCAUUUUUGAGGCCCCGAUUCGAGAGGAUCCGGAUGCCUGAACCCUUCAAAGGACCGUGUUGUUCGUGGGCGAAUACGCAGCAUACUCCAGACCACCGUAAAGUAGUACGAUACGAUGUUUCUCGCUGAAUGGUGGGGGAGAAAACAAGAGGGAAAAAGACCACCUGACGCGCAACCUUUUGGGGUCUGGUAAAAGAUCCAAUGGGGACCGGAGGGGGUCCUUUGCUGGGUACUUGGGACGUACGUGUUCUUAACCAAUG